RNAcentral lists this ribosomal RNA (543 nucleotides) under Lenzites sp. BRFM 1048. RNAcentral describes it as "eukaryotic LSU rRNA". The stretch from base 147 to 300 matches the Rfam family "5.8S ribosomal RNA". The record is from RNAcentral. Lineage: Eukaryota; Fungi; Basidiomycota; Agaricomycetes; Polyporales; Polyporaceae.
CAUCCACUCUACACCUGUGCACUUACUGUAGGUUUGGCGUGGGCUUCGGGGGCCUUCGCGGGCUUUCGUGGCAUUCUGCCUGCCUAUGUAUCACUACAAACACUAUAAAGUAACAGAAUGUAAUCGCGUCUAACGCAUCUUAAUACAACUUUCAGCAACGGAUCUCUUGGCUCUCGCAUCGAUGAAGAACGCAGCGAAAUGCGAUAAGUAAUGUGAAUUGCAGAAUUCAGUGAAUCAUCGAAUCUUUGAACGCACCUUGCGCUCCUUGGUAUUCCGAGGAGCAUGCCUGUUUGAGUGUCAUGGUAUUCUCAACCCACACAUCCUUGUGAUGUUCGUAGGGCUUGGACUUGGAGGCUUGCUGGCCGUCGCGGUCGGCUCCUCUUGAAUGCAUUAGCUUGGUUCCUUGCGGAUCGGCUCUCAGUGUGAUAAUUGUCUACGCUGUGACCGUGAAGCGUUUGGCGAGCUUCUAACCGUCCUGCUAGGGACAAACUUACUUGACAUCUGACCUCAAAUCAGGUAGGACUACCCGCUGAACUUAAGCAU